GCAGAUGUAACUCAAUUGGCAGAGUAGCGGCUUGCCAAGUCGCCGGUACGAGUUCAAGUCUCGUCAUCUGCUC
Molecule: transfer RNA, 73 nt
Filed under: compost metagenome
Description: tRNA-Gly
Rfam family: tRNA
About the family: Transfer RNA (tRNA) molecules are approximately 80 nucleotides in length. Their secondary structure includes four short double-helical elements and three loops (D, anti-codon, and T loops).
Source: RNAcentral